Molecule: ribosomal RNA, 446 nt
Filed under: uncultured bacterium
Lineage: Bacteria
Description: partial 16S ribosomal RNA
Rfam family: Bacterial small subunit ribosomal RNA
Source: RNAcentral
CCUACGGGAGGCAGCAGUCGAGAAUCAUUCACAAUGGGGGAAACCCUGAUGGUGCGACGCCGCGUGGGGGAAUGAAGGUCUUCGGAUUGUAAACCCCUGUCAUGUGGGAGCAAAUUAAAAAGAUAGUACCACAAGAGGAAGAGACGACUAACUCUGUGCCAGCAGCCGCGGUAAUACAGAGGUCUCAAGCGUUGUUCGGAAUCACUGGGCGUAAAGCGUGCGUAGGCUGUUUCGUAAGUCGUGUGUGAAAGGCGCGGGCUCAACCCGCGGACGGCACAUGAUACUGCGAGACUAGAGUAAUGGAGGGGGAACCGGAAUUCUCGGUGUAGCAGUGAAAUGCGUAGAUAUCGAGAGGAACACUCGUGGCGAAGGCGGGUUACUGGACAUUAACUGACGCUGAGGCACGAAGGCCAGGGGAGCGAAAGGGAUUAGAUACCCGGGUAGUC